This 301-nucleotide ribosomal RNA is filed under the name uncultured bacterium. RNAcentral's name for it is "partial 16S ribosomal RNA". It matches the Rfam family "Bacterial small subunit ribosomal RNA", at positions 509 to 809 of the family's 1533-position model. The record is from RNAcentral.
CAGUAGCCGCGGGAAUACGUAGGUGGCAAGCGUUGUCCGGAAUUAUUGGGCGUAAAGCGCGCGCAGGCGGAUAGGUCAGUCUGUCUUAAAAGUUCGGGGCUUAACCCCGUGAUGGGAUGGAAACUGCCAAUCUAGAGUAUCGGAGAGGAAAGUGGAAUUCCUAGUGUAGCGGUGAAAUGCGUAGAUAUUAGGAAGAACACCAGUGGCGAAGGCGACUUUCUGGAUGAAAACUGACGCUGAGGCGCGAAAGCCAGGGGAGCGAACGGGAUUAGAUACCCCAGUAGUCCCUGUCUUUAUACAC